UCCGAGAAAACCCAACUACUCUGCAUGAGGUUGCAAAACAACGCGAAUUGAGUGGGACGCUGGAAAGUGAGUCGGACGGGAUGUUGAAAAAGCAGAUCUCUCAUGCUAAGUCCAAAGAACUUAGUGGGCAUGACAUAUUUGCACCUCCACCUGAAAUCUUGCCCAGGACGGUGGUUUCACACGCACACACAAUGCAUCAAGAUAUGGGAGAACCUGCACCACGUAAUUUACGCACAUCUGUCAAAGUUUCUAAUGUAAGUGACUUUGUUGUGUUUGUCCUUACUCUUACCUCUGUCUUAAGCAUGAGAAAAUAGUUAUGUGGCAACUGAUACAGCAUGUCAGUUGAAAGUAACCACCUCCCCUCUUCCUUGGUGGCUUUGAACCUGGGUAGUUCUAUAUUCAAUGAAGACAUGCUAUUAUUGGUUGUCACAUUGGGAUAGAAGUCAACCACAUGACGUUUGAUACGUAUUGAAGUUUUUUCUCAUCAAGUAGGCCUAGUAAAAUGCAAUAUUUGAGAAGCUUCGAUGGAAUUAACCAAUGAUUAUCCAUGAUGCUUCUUGCAAGCAUAGCACUAUAUCGAUUCUUUCUCUAAAUCAUUCUUCUGAGGUAUUCUUGGAUCUAGAAUGACCUGACUUUAAUACUUUUACAUGGAUCAGCCUGCUGGAGGACAGAGCAAUAUAAUGUCCACUGAGGAACCUGUGCUGAAGACGGCAAAGAAGAUCUAUGACAAGAAAUUUACUGAACUUUCGGGAAACGACAUCUUCAAGGGCGACGUGCCUCCAUCAUCUGCGGAGAAACCACUAAGUGUGGCGAAACUGCGCGAGAUAAGUGGCAACGACAUUUUUGCUGAUGGUAAGGUAGAAUCUCGGGACUACCUGGGUGGCGUGCGCAAACCGCCUGGUGGUGAGAGCAGCAUCUCAUUGGUUUGAUAAGAUACGGCCUGGACCAACUAUUUCACGUGAUAGUCUUGUGUCUGGAUUUUCUUCUGGUUCUCACUGUGAACAUAUUCUGGUAUUACUCUCCUUUCAUUAAAUUCGUCGAGGGAUACGGCAAACUUCAUUCCAGUAUUUAACAUGAUUGGCUAGAGAUGUGACCGAUGUGCUAAUUGGUGUUAUGUGUUCAUACUUGCGUUUGGUUUAGCGAUUGUCCUAAUUUUCUGCAAGUUCAUCUACUGCAAUGAAUGGUUGCGUUUGUCCGUUCCAUCUUCUUACUCCCUGUGUAGUGUUAAAUCUUGAUUUCAGUACAUUUCAUUGGGAUACAGUGAUUAUCGAUUCCAUUCUGUUUUCAUCCUGUGCUGCCAAGUGAUUUAUGGCAAUUUUUUGUAGUUACAUAUAGGAUGUGGAACAUUCUCUUGUUAAAAUCCACGUCAAGGGAAAUUGAGUAUGUACGCCCUUUCAUUUAGCAGCCAUUCUCCACCUCGAGAUCGCUGGGCCAACCACCUAAGGUCUUAAUUCAAUAAGAUGUUAUCAAUGCUUGAUUGAUGCAUUCUGCUAAAAUUUGACAGCUACAGCAAACAAAUCAUUGCUGAAGUAUCAUUAGGAAUGGUUGUGGUCAAAAUUUACUUGGAUAAUGUGAUAUCAUAACCUUUUUUUGGGGUGGGGUGAGCAGUGUCGGCAAUCUUCUUGGAUGUAAGCAUAGGAGUUCUACAUUUAUGGCGUACUGUCAUAACUUUAUGUUCAUAGAGAUUUAUCCGAAAAAGAUUGAACUGUUGGUUUAAAUCAUGACAAGGGAAUGCUGAAUUUUUGAGAAUGGAGUGAGGGCCAAGCUAUAAGAGGAAAAUCCGAAACACUGGAGGGUUUACAAAUCCUUUUCGAUGAACUAAUAUCUUCAGUUCAUGCCCUUAAUAUCACAUUCAACUUCUGAAACGUGCUCUUACAUUUUUAUAUGGAUUUCCCAUUCUCCGUUCAUCUUACCUUCCUAAUAUAUAGUCUAGACAUCUUACCCUUCCUUGACUGUUCUGUGCACAGUUGAAUCGCCAUUCAUGCAGUACAAUUGUAAUAAUUAUUACUAAUUAAUAAACAAUACCCAUUAUAUUGGUUAAUUAAUAUAAUAUAAUCAUUACAUAAGCAAAUUGUUCUCAUGAUUAAUACUAUCCAAUCACGCAGGGCGCUAAGCUAUUAUGUAUAAUAGCUAUUAGAGUUUCAGCAGUAAUAGGCAUUAUAACGUUAUACUUACUACUGCAAGCUGAUAUUGUAAUGCGUCAAAGAGGAGUAAUGUAAUAAUCGUUGCCACAACCAAAGCGUCCACUUGUGGCUUCUGAAUCUUUGCUUGUCAUGAAUAUAAGCUCACUUUAUAAUAAUACACUCAUCUACGAAUAUAGAAAGUACCACUGGAGAUAUUUAUUCAUUUGCUAGAAGCUAUAGUUCCUCUUGCAAUUUCAUAUUACUGGGUUGUCUCCACCUCUGGACAAUGGCCACACUAGUGAGCGGCCGGAUGAGCCGAUAACACCUGAGAAACCAUCUUCAUGGAUGGCCUGAGUUGCGGAUUGGUGGAUAAACAAGCAAUUGCGAGCUUGAAGAUGACUAGAAGUUCAUCCUCAGUGCUUGGCAUUGGAGCUGGUAGGCGUGGAUCCAGCAUAUCUUUCAGGACUGUCACAAUCUCCUUAUCCGAUUCAGCUAAUAGGGAUGAGAUGGUUUCGCCUGGAUGUUUUCCAUGGAACACCUGUAUUGCCAUGACCCCAAAGCUGUACACGUCGCAUUUCUCAGUCACUCUCAUCGUGUAGGCAAGCUCUGCACAUAAGAAGAAAAUGCAUUAUUACUGGCAGAUUAUUACUUUUUAAGCUCACCAUAGAGGACUAGUAGAUAUCCAUGGAGUUACCUGGUGCAAUAUAUCCAUAUGUCCCAGCAACAGUGCUCCAAUUCGACGUGUCCAGCUUGAGAAGCUUGGCUGUGCCAAAGUCAGAAACAUGGGCCUCAUACUCAGAAUCAAGCAAGAUGUUGUUGCUUGAUAUGUCUCGGUGAACAAUGGGAGGCACACAGUCAUGGUGCAUGUAGGACAGAGCAUGAGCUAUGCCUCUCACAAUAUUUGCCCUCCUAUCCCAACCCAACUCUUUUGCUUCUCCAUCAUCGCUCAGGGUUGCAGACAGGUUUCCUCUUUCCAGAUACUCAUACACCAAGAACGAGUGUUGGGGAUGUGAGCAGAAGCCACGGAGUCUCACGAUGUUACGGUGUCGUAUUUCUGUCAAUGCCCGUAUCUCAUUCUGAAACUCCUUCUGAUUCGUUUGCCCGCUAUCAGACAUCUGAUGAAGCUUCUUCACAGCCACCACAUCGCCUGAUCUUAGCUUUGCUCUGUAGACUCUUCCAUAUCCUCCACAUCCAAUGCAGUAUCUCUCGUUAAAAUCCUCAGUCGCUGCAAUGAUUUCUUCGUGCAAUAUCCUUCCAUUGUAAGUAGAUAUAGAAAACAUUUUCUCUCUCUCCUGUGCUUGCUCCACUGUCGGCGGUCCUUUCUUCUAUGCAAAAUGUAGUAUACUCCGACGAAAGAAAGCAGGAGAAAUGCUCCAAGUACGAGGAAAACAAUGAGAAACACUUUCUUAACAGUGUUGGAUUUUUUCUUCUGCGGCUCCGAUUGACUACAAGGCUGAAGUCCAUCAACAUUUCCACAUAAUCCAGCGUUGCCUUGUAAUGCUUCUGUUGGAGCAUCUUGGAAUGCCGUGGUGUUUGGAACCGGACCCUGAAACUCAUUGUAGGAUAUGUCAACCGUGGCCAAACCUGGCAUAUCCUCAAAAAUUGCGUAUAUAGGGCCCGAAAGAUUGUUGUGUGAGAGGUCAAGUUUCACUAGACUUUGCAGAUUGCUGAAUUGUGCAGGAAUCUUGCCGAUUAAUGAAUUAUUGUUCAAGUCUAGCUCGGAUAAGUGAAUCAGCAUCCUGAUCUGGCCAGGAAUUUCUUGGCUUAACCGGUUGUUGCUCAGAUCCAAGUGGAAUAAGUCUGCCAACUGCCCGAUACUCUCAGGGAUAGACGAGUUUAAUCUAUUCCUGGACAAAUCCAUCAUUUGAAGACCAGAUAGGGACGCGAUCUUCGGACUUAUACUGCCAGAAAGUUGAUUCCUGCUCAAGUUCAACCUCACCAAAUAGGUCAAUUUCCCGAGUUCCUUUGGAAUCUCGCCAACUAAACCAUUGGAAGAAAGAUCGAGUCCUUGUAGUUCAGUUGCGUUUCCGAUCUCAGGAGGCAAGCUACCAGUGAUGUUGUUCCCAGCAAUUCGUAGAGUCCGCAGACGCUGACAACUUCCCCAGUUGGCCGAGAUUUCUCCAUAGAACUUGUUGAAACUUAAAUCUAUAAAGUCCAAGUUCGGGUAGAUGCCAAAACUGUCGGAUAUGUUUCCAGUGAGUUGAUUCUCCUCGAGGCGUACCCUGAGUAAGCUUGUGCAAUUUCUCAAGCUUUUGGGAAUGAAACCUGUGAGGUUGUUGCCACCCAAGGUGAGAUUGCGAAGUGAUCCACCUCGGCACAAGUUAUCUGGUAUGAAGCCAGUGAAUUGGUUCGUAUCUAAUUGUAGCACCACCAAGCUCAUCAAAUCCCCCAGGAAUCUAGGAAUGGAUCCGGAAAGUUGGUUCUCGCGGAGGAAUAAAUAUUUCAGUUUAGUCAUGUUGCCUAGAGAAGAAGGAAAAGGGCCACUGAGCUGAUUCAUACUCAGCUCCAAAUCGAUCAUAGCUCGAAGGUUUCCCAACUCAUCAGGAAUGUCAUCAGAAAGCAUGUUGCCAUACAGAUAAAGAAGGGUAAGCUCUGUCAAAUUGCCUAAUGUCGAGGGAAUUGAACCGGUAAGAUUAUUGUAGUGUAGGGCGAGUCGACGAAGAAGUUUCAAGUUCCCCAGCUCCGGUGGGAUAGAACCAGUAAGUUCAUUAUCAUAUAUGUGGAGUUGGGUUAGUUUCGUCAAUUUCCCAAAUGUGGAAGGAAUUGGCCCCGUUAGGAAGUUGAUAUCCAUGUAAAUCUCCUCCAAGUUUGUCAAAUUCCCCAUCUCAAGAGGAAUAGGACCAGAAAAUGAACUGUUAUAGAUGUAAAGUCUAGAGAGGCUGCUCAAGUUGCCCAAGGAAGAAGGAAGAGAUCCAUUCAACUGGUUUGAGUACAAGGCAAGCUCGUUUAACAAACGCAACUGACCUAUUUCAUCAGGGAUAGAGCCAUUCAACUCGUUAGAGGGCAAGUGUAACACCUCAAGCUUCAUGAGAUUGCCAAUCUCCCGUGGUAUUUUCCCGGAUAAUUGAUUAUAGGAGAAGUCAAGGUAGGUGAGAUUGGUCAAAAGACCGACUUGAGGUGGAAUACCGCCGAAGAGUUCAUUUAUGUACAUGUCUAUAUAGGUAAGAUACGGCAAAGACGAGAAUGGGAACUCAUCGAGUGUACCUUUGAUGUUCGAAUUGGUGAGAUUGAUUCCAAUCACGCUUCUGGCUAGGUUACACAAGAUGCCGUGCCAACCGCACGGGCUCGACGCUGUUGCAUUGGAGCCGGUAGCAUUUUGAGGAGGGAGAGUCCAUGAAGAUAGAGAAGAGGUGGAUAGGUUUUGGUUUAGAAGGCUUGAUUUCCAUUUGAGAAGGGCUUGUGCUUCUAGUGUGGAGGCAUAAGCAGGAAUUGCACGUUGUGGAAUGAUGACCAAAAGUGCUGUGAAAAGGGCAAAAGAGGCUAGAAGAUUCACUGGUGUCUCCAAUCCUGGUGAGCCCAUGGUUUCUUUCGUUUGUUCUGGAGGUUGAUGAUCAACCAUGAGGCAUAUAUGUAAAGCUUGGUUACUCUGUGUCUGUCAUUCUCCAAUUCCAUUCAAAGAAGGCCAAUUUUCAAAGAUCCUAAAUUUCCUGCUUGCUCAACGGUGCUGAUUGUGAUGGUUCAGAUGUUAACAAUCUGGCCAAUGAGUGAAAACGAGAAAUAGUCUAACCGCGUGUAGAGUUUCAUGUGGUUGGAACAAUGCGUUUGACUCAAAGCUUCCUUGACUCUGUUCUCUUUACUCGGUGCUAUCUCUGGUUUUUCUUGACGUGGGAGUGCCAACAGCCAGAUACUGCUAUUUUAAAGAUGAUAAUGCGUUCGUCAGCUAUCAUCAAUAGGGAAGAAAAUGAAGCCAGUCACUAUCGUUUUGCUCAGACUUUGUGACAGACAGGAAAUUUGACUGAGUAUUUACUCGAUAAAUUAAAUAAAUCUUUUUAAUACCAAGUGGAUCUGCGCUUUGGAUGUUGUAUAUGGCCUAAUUCUUCCUUUCUGGAAGCACUUAUGAUGGAAUUACCUUCCAAGCGCUCUACUGGGAGAGUUUGUAGAUGAAGAGUGGGACACAGAAUAAAGGACCUUCACGUUUAGUUUCUUUUUGAGCCUUUUUAUGGUUUUAACCCCUUUGCUCUUUCCUUCUAGAGGAACGGCGAUGUUUCCUUGUAGCUUCUCGCUGAAUCUGAUUGAUGCUUUGAAUAGUUUAGGUACCUCUUUUACUAUGUGAAUUUCGACUAGAUUUGCUCUUUUAGAAGAGAAGCAGGACAAAAUGUACUUGUGUGAACCUUCUAACUGUACUUUGUUCAGGCAAUAUCUAGAAACAUUCGCAUCAAAGGGAAAAUGAAACGAACAGUAAGAGACUUCUGCUAUUUUCGCCUUAACAUGCGCUCUUAAGAUCGAAAAUCGAGUUUCUGGUCUCUAUAUGACACAACGUUAUUUAUGUAAGUGGGAAACUACCAUGGAAUACAUGGAUUCUAAGUCUUAAAUCACCCUAAACUUUUAUUUCCAUGUAAAUCCACAGUUUAAUAACUCCUUUACUGAAUCUUGCAGUUCAAAUUUACAUUACUCCUGGCCUAAUUCCUAAAAUUACUCUAAUUAGAUGAACAACGAGUUCGAUUAUUUACCAAAUGUUGUAAAACGAAGCCAAUCCAGCUUGGCGAGUUCACAGUGGUGUGUAGACGCAAGCUUUUCUCUCCUCUCUUCCUUGCUAUUAUUGUCAUUGUUUAUGUUUGUUUUUCGCUUUUACACUUCACAUGCAUCUAAUGAAGGAGAAAAGAGUGCAGAUUACAUCGGCCAAUGCAUGGUAGGAUAAUGUAGGUUGAGCUUUUAUUUGUUAAUUCAUUUAUCUUAGAUUUCGCUCUUACAGAUGUUAUAUAUGUGCUUGUUCAACUUUUUUAUUCUGAACUACAAAAGUAUUGGAGAUGUCGAACCUAUAUGCACACAACCAAUAGGCAAAGCCAUAGUAAUAUAUAGAGAUUUCAUUGUGUAUUUAUUACUAAAUACGGAUUCAGUGAUCAGUCGCUGUUUUUGUAAUUAAUUUUUGAGCGAGUUUUGAGGAUAUAUUUUGUUAUCUGGAGCUUAUUUUGUUUUGAAGCUGUCUACGAGUUGUCUUGAUUUGCAGUUGGACUAAAUUAUUUUUCUCUUAUAUUUACGUGGGAAUGAAUGAAAUGUUAUCUUGACCAAAAAAAAAAAAGGGGUAAGAAAGAAGAAUGGGCAAUAGCACCUACGGCUGGGUUUGUGGUGGCGGCCUAGUUUGCCCCGAGUUUACCCCGCCGGCUGCCGGCUGUAUGGGGGGUUUCCGGGUCAUCAAAAUAAAAAAUAAAAAGGGCAAUAACAAACUUAGUUAUAGUCACGGUCACCCUUCAAGUCUGUAUUUUUUACUUGGGGAACGACCCCAUCCCUUCAUAAAAUAAGGGACGAAGCUUUUAAUUAACACAAACCAUUUUCAGAAAUGUAUUAGUCGUAUAAAACCUGACAUUAACGAAAAUAAUCAUAAGGUCCAACGUAUCAUGAAUGUACCCAGCUGAAUUUCCUUCAGAGUCGGUCUAAUAAGCUCAAUAAAAAUAGCAAGAUAGAUCCUAAAUUGAAUCCAUCACUCUCCUCUAUUCUUGAAAUCUGAAAUGGCAAUAAAAGGGGGCGAGCAAAACCCCGGCUCAGUAAGUGAUAAUCACCACUUCCGUGAAAUCAAGUAACGAAGGAUGCGGUUGUACAAUAACAUGCAUAUGCAGGAAUUGCACCUUGUGAAGUGACUGCUAGCAUUGCGAGAAGGGCAACGGGAGUCGGUAGCCAGAAGACGUACCCCUUCCUCUAAAACUUUUUGCCAGUCCUUGAUUUUCUGGUGUGGUUCUGGAGCAUGAUGAUCAACAAAGGGUUGCCUGCUCUGUUUCUGCCGUUGUUCUUUACUCCAUUCAUAAAGGGCCAGCUUUCAAAGAUCUCCCAUUUCAGGAUUUUGAAAGCUUCUGAUCAUGAAGUUUCAGCUAUUGACAAACUGUAUUUUGUUUAUACAGAGCCCCGUGUAUGCUGAAGUAAGUGGUUGACUUCACUCCACCUCGCUAAUUUUUUUUUACCAAUGGGGGACAUUCCUUUGCUUGCUAAAAUACCGACCUUUGACAACUGGAAUGCGUGCAUCACCGGGCAAUAAUUAAUGAGAAAAACAUACGUUGACUUGGAUCGGUCUUCUUUGGCGACUUGUUGACUUGGAUCGGUCCCCAUGUCGGAAUUUGGUCCCCAUCGUUGGGCGAAAUCCAGAGAAUUUGAUAGAGAAGUCGUUGAGGAGAGUGAUAUUCCUAACUUGUUUCACACAUUAUGCAAUUCUAAGCACGCAAAAGGGAAGUCUUCUCAUCCGGCAUUAAUGAAGCCAAAUCCUGCCUCGGUUUUGACCCCGUUCUUGCAGAAACGAUAGCUGAUAAUAAAGCUAAUGAGUUUGGAUCACACCCACUUGCAAACUCACAUCAAUCUAAAGGAAAAUUGAAGAAGAGAAAUCCAAAUUGUCUAUGGCCUGCUUGUUCCAACCUUUUCUGAUAAAUGACAAGGUGGCUGUGGAGACCCGCAUUUAUCGAUAUUUCUCGAUUAUCAAGUUCAUCAUCAUUGCCGGUCUCUUUGGGCCUACGUAGAAAAGCCGAUCCUGAAGUGGCUGCUCAAGAGGCUGUUCAACCGGGAGUUCCCGGGGUGGGCGUCCUGAAUAUUUCAUUGUCAGAGAAGGUGAUCGUUGGCGAAUAACUUCAAUCUAGCUUCUGCUGGAGGCGAUGAGUGCCAGCGUGAGGAUGUGAAAUCGUAGAAUGCAGAGCACGCAGUUUAAAGUUCGUUGAUGGGGAGGGUGCAAAACUAAAUCACGCAGUUCGUAGUUUUGCAAAACUGUAGACACUUCUCGAAUAUCUUUACAUUUUCAUGAUUUCCUAAAUUGUUCAAAUUGUACCACUCUUGUGCAAGUUCGCUGGUGAGGCUGUUGUCAAGGAGGUCAUGCAGAGUGAAGGAGGAGGCGUAAGCAAGAUGAAAAGAAACACAAAAUGGAAAAAGAAAAAAAAAAGAAAGAAAAAGAAAAAAAGCAAAGUCCUUAGAGGAAAGAUUUGGUUGACUUGUAGGUUGAAGCCUUCAUUUGAGAUGGUGCCCACUUUAAGUUGUUUCAUAAAACGGUUUCACUUCAAGUUCUUAUUUGAAAUUUACUAUUAUUUUAUUAUACUUGAAAGUAGAUGAAUAUUUGCAAUUAAAGUAUGUUUACUUAAAGGAAAUCUAAUAUGAAAAUUAAUUUUCAACUUUCUGGUAUUUAUAUGACAAAAAAACUAAUCGAAUUGUGGAUAAAGUUUUUCAUGGAGUGAAACCUAACUAUUUGACUUGAAAAUACUUUUUAUAAAGAAUAUUUUUUUACCAUUAAAUUUUCAGUACAAUAAAAGGACCCUCGUUUCAAAUAAUUUACCUUUUUUGAGCUCCGUAAGUGGGCUCAAUUAUUGAGAAAGAGCGCACUGUGAUUAUUUUGGAAUUUUGAAGUGCUCGAUGGCUCCAAUAGAAAUAGUCCCGCAAGUUAGACGGGGCAAAUAAUUUUGGUGUUGGAUCAUGAAUAUGCAUAACUUGGAUUAUAUCGAAGUUUAAUGACCAUCGCUGGAUCUACAUAUAAGAACUAAUUAUCCUUUUAUUUAUUAGCUUCACGAUUCAUUUUCAUUUUAGUUUAUUGUAUUUAUUAUUAUUGUAAUAUAUCAAAUUAAUGACUAACAUUGCCUUGCUUUGAUUAAAAAAUCUAAUGACCGUAGGAAAGUGAUGGACAUUUGUUUUUAAUUGGUUAUUUCUUUCCCUAUACUAUUUUCCAUGAGCAAGGGAAAAAUUAUUGAAAAUCAAAACGUAAUUGGAUUGAGUAUGAGUUAAAUCCAGUGGAGUUUUGUAUAGGUUGCUAAAUUUGUAUUAUGUAAAGAUGGAACUGUUUGAGUUAAAUGGUUCAAUUUAAAUCGAACCCAAUCUGACCAAUAAAGGUUGUACGAUCAUCAAUUUUACUAGAAAAGCACAAGAUAAAUUUAAGAGACUAUCAAUCCUAAAAGGGCAGAGAGAAGCAUAAUCAAUACUUAAUCACAAUAGACAUCGGGUUGGAUUCCGCAAGUAUCCGAUGCCAUUCAAGAUAAAUUAAAUUUGGCUAAAUAUGCUUUAUACUGCAUUCUAAAAUCUUUGUUUCUCUUACUGUGAAUUCUGAAUAGUUUAUAAUGUGCACCGGUCCUUUUUAAUAAAUGAACUCGAUUUACACGUUCAGUGUUAGGCAAUGAGUUCUUACUAUUAGUGGCCACCAGCAAUUUAUGACUAUGCAGAAAAUGCAAAAUUUUAUUUUUUUACUGAUAAGUGCUGUGAAAAUGUUUGGGCAUAUCUAUAUGUAUAUAUUCCCAUUCAUUCAUUCAUGGUUCCUUUCUUUCCUUCCUUUUUUCUGUACAUUGAAGCCACUUUUUGCAACUUCUAGGAAACCGUGUUCGGGUUACAAAAUGAAGGAGAUAACUGGAAGUGGUAUCUUUUCGGAUAGUGGAGAAACUGAUCCGUCAGAGUCUGGCAAUAUUACUCCUAACAACAGAACAGGAAUCCGAAUGUACCAGGUACUUCUGUUUUCGGUUUUCCUUUUUUGGCCUGGGACAAAUGCACCAGGUCCUAAUUCCUGCAUAGAUAAUCUUAAAUCUCCAUGGUGAUUCCUAAUUUACUUUGACUUCCUCUGUAAAACAUUCCUAGCAAGCCCUUGCUGGAAUCAGUCACAUCUCCUUUGGUGAGGAAGAGAGCGUUUCUCCGAGAAAACCAACUACUGUGCCUGAGGUUGCAAAACAACGCGAUUUGAGUGGGACGCUGGAAAGUGAGUCAGACGGGAUGUUGAAAAAGCAGAUCUCUCAUGCCAAGUCCAAAGAACUAAGUGGGCAUGACAUAUUUGCACCUCCACCUGAAAUCUUGCCCAGGACGGUGGCUUCACACUCACACACAAUGCAUCAAGACACGGGAGAACCUGCACCACGUGAUUUGCGCACAUCUGCCAAAGUUUCUAAUUUAAGUGACUUUGUUGUGUUUGUCCCUACUCUUCCCUCUGUCUUAAGCAUGAGAAAAUAGUUAUGUGGCAA
RNAcentral lists this long non-coding RNA (11239 nucleotides) under Eucalyptus grandis. RNAcentral describes it as "long non-coding RNA (EGRA_LNC003471)". The record is from RNAcentral. Lineage: Eukaryota; Viridiplantae; Streptophyta; Magnoliopsida; Myrtales; Myrtaceae.